GUGCGCAUGCAACACAUAUACUAAAUUUAGAAAAAUAUAGAGAGGGUAAGUAUGGCUCCUGCACAAGACAACAGGCAAAUUCAUGAAGCGCUCCAUAUUUUU
RNAcentral lists this small nuclear RNA (102 nucleotides) under Chlamydotis macqueenii (Macqueen's bustard). Lineage: Eukaryota; Metazoa; Chordata; Aves; Otidiformes; Otididae. The record is from RNAcentral.